This 609-nucleotide small RNA is filed under the name Rhizopus arrhizus. RNAcentral describes it as "eukaryotic LSU rRNA". The stretch from base 226 to 379 matches the Rfam family "5.8S ribosomal RNA". The record is from RNAcentral. Lineage: Eukaryota; Fungi; Mucoromycota; Mucoromycetes; Mucorales; Rhizopodaceae.
UUUCCGUAGGUGAACCUGCGGAAGGAUCAUUAAUUAUGUUAAAGCGCCUUACCUUAGGGUUUCCUCUGGGGUAAGUGAUUGCUUCUACACUGUGAAAAUUUGGCUGAGAGACUCAGACUGGUCAUGGGUAGACCUAUCUGGGGUUUGAUCGAUGCCACUCCUGGUUUCAGGAGCACCCUUCAUAAUAAACCUAGAAAUUCAGUAUUAUAAAGUUUAAUAAAAAACAACUUUUAACAAUGGAUCUCUUGGUUCUCGCAUCGAUGAAGAACGUAGCAAAGUGCGAUAACUAGUGUGAAUUGCAUAUUCAGUGAAUCAUCGAGUCUUUGAACGCAGCUUGCACUCUAUGGUUUUUCUAUAGAGUACGCCUGCUUCAGUAUCAUCACAAACCCACACAUAACAUUUGUUUAUGUGGUAAUGGGUCGCAUCGCUGUUUUAUUACAGUGAGCACCUAAAAUGUGUGUGAUUUUCUGUCUGGCUUGCUAGGCAGGAAUAUUACGCUGGUCUCAGGAUCUUUUUCUUUGGUUCGCCCAGGAAGUAAAGUACAAGAGUAUAAUCCAGCAACUUUCAAACUAUGAUCUGAAGUCAGGUGGGAUUACCCGCUGAACUUAA